Molecule: transfer RNA, 84 nt
Filed under: Taylorella equigenitalis MCE9
Lineage: Bacteria; Pseudomonadati; Pseudomonadota; Betaproteobacteria; Burkholderiales; Alcaligenaceae
Description: tRNA-Leu
Rfam family: tRNA
About the family: Transfer RNA (tRNA) molecules are approximately 80 nucleotides in length. Their secondary structure includes four short double-helical elements and three loops (D, anti-codon, and T loops).
Source: RNAcentral
GCCCGAGUGGUGAAAUUGGUAGACGCAGGGGACUCAAAAUCCCCCGCCGCAAGGCGUGCCGGUUCGAUUCCGGCCUCGGGCACC